Molecule: long non-coding RNA, 294 nt
Organism: Gossypium raimondii (Peruvian cotton)
Lineage: Eukaryota; Viridiplantae; Streptophyta; Magnoliopsida; Malvales; Malvaceae
Exons: 3
Source: RefSeq, a predicted model, not a curated record
AAACGCAACAAAGAAGGAGAAAGGAAAGAAAGAAAAAAAAGAAAGAAAAGGGAAUUUUGGGGUUUUGAAGUUCCAAGCUCAAUUGCUAGCGUCGUACCGGAAUUCUCGACUAAAAAGGGGAAAAAUAUAGUCGAUGAGGAAUAGCUCGGAAUUCCUGGUUAAGUACUUAAGUUUGAUCGCUGAUUAAGCAUCCAACAACAAUCCCGAACUCAAUUAUGGUGAUGUUUAUUUCUUUGUGUCGGCAUGUACCUAGAGUGUCUAAAUAUUAGUUAUUUUGUGGCUUGAUUGUAAAUG